GGAUUGUAGCUCAGCGGUAGAGCAUUCGUCUAGUACCUGUGAGGCACUGGGUUCGAUCCUCAGCACCA
RNAcentral lists this transfer RNA (68 nucleotides) under Marmota monax (woodchuck). RNAcentral's name for it is "tRNA.Thr". The record is from RNAcentral. Lineage: Eukaryota; Metazoa; Chordata; Mammalia; Rodentia; Sciuridae.